CCUACGGGAGGCAGCAGUGGGGAAUAUUGGGCAAUGGACGCAAGUCUGACCCAGCAACGCCGCGUGAAGGAAGAAGGCUUUCGGGUUGUAAACUUCUUUUAAGGGGGAAGAGCAGAAGACGGUACCCCUUGAAUAAGCCACGGCUAACUACGUGCCAGCAGCCGCGGUAAUACGUAGGUGGCAAGCGUUGUCCGGAUUUACUGGGUGUAAAGGGCGUGCAGCCGGGAAGACAAGUCAGAUGUGAAAUCCCGCGGCUCAACCGCGGAACUGCAUUUGAAACUGUUUUUCUUGAGUAUCGGAGAGGUAAUCGGAAUUCCUAGUGUAGCGGUGAAAUGCGUAGAUAUUAGGAAGAACACCAGUGGCGAAGGCGGAUUACUGGACGACAACUGACGGUGAGGCGCGAAAGCGUGGGGAGCAAACAGGAUUAGAUACACCAGUAGUC
RNAcentral lists this ribosomal RNA (442 nucleotides) under uncultured bacterium. RNAcentral's name for it is "partial 16S ribosomal RNA". It matches the Rfam family "Bacterial small subunit ribosomal RNA", at positions 338 to 795 of the family's 1533-position model. The record is from RNAcentral.